RNAcentral lists this ribosomal RNA (468 nucleotides) under Triticum aestivum (bread wheat). Its description in RNAcentral is "partial small subunit ribosomal RNA". Lineage: Eukaryota; Viridiplantae; Streptophyta; Magnoliopsida; Poales; Poaceae. The record is from RNAcentral.
AUGAUCACUGGAGCCGGCGACGACGGGCACGGCGUUGGCGCCGGGGCAACGGCAAUCCCGUCCGUGAUCCUGAACACGGGCCACGCGAUGCCGGUGCUGGGGUUCGGCACGGGCUCGCCAAGCAAGCCGGCGGACCUGGCGGACACCAUCGUGCACGCCGUCCGUCUCGGCUACCGCCACCUGGACACGGCGUCCAUGUACCGCACGGAGCCGGCGGUGGGCGCCGCCGUAGCCGAGUCCGUCCGCGCCGGCGCCGUGCCCUCCCGCACCGACCUCUUCGUCACCUCCAAGCUCUGGAUCUCCGACGCGCGCCCGGGCCGCGUCGUCCCGGCGCUCCGCGAGUCGCUCGCCCGCCUCGGCCUAGCCUACCUUGACCUCUUCCUCGUCCACUGGCCCGUGGCCGCCACCGCCGGCGGCCUCCCGGUAGACAAGAGCACGCUGGUGGAGUUCUACAUGGAGGGCGUGUAG